Molecule: non-coding RNA, 531 nt
Organism: Camellia sinensis
Lineage: Eukaryota; Viridiplantae; Streptophyta; Magnoliopsida; Ericales; Theaceae
Source: RefSeq, a predicted model, not a curated record
AGCUGUUGGAGGAGAUGGUUCAUUUCAGUUGAAACCUUGGCAAAAGCUUAAGCUUUCUAUAGAGAUCUUCUGUAACAAUCAAGGUUUGUUAAAUGAUGGUGGCACAAUAUUGCUAGACAAGCUGGCGGGGUAUUUCUGUAUCAGUAAAAUCUUAAUUUUGUUUAUCUAUGAUUUUGUUGAACCUCAAUUCGUAUUUAGCUAACUACUUGCUCUCUUCUCCUUCUUAUCCCUGUGAUUUGGUAACUCAGAAUACUGUUAUUAUAUCAACUGGAUCCUUCUCUAGAUGCAGAAUUUGCUGGAUGAAUUACAAUUUCAGUUAGUUUAUUUUUUAAUAUAAUUUUUUUUUAUUAUGUAAAAAGUGAAAAUGUCUGUCUGGAGCAUGGUAAAACAGUUUCACCCCAACCCCCCCUCACCCUUUGAACUAUUUCUUAUGUAUUUUGGCUUCAAGUAGAUGAAAGUAAUCUUGAUAGAAAAGGCAUAUACUUAACGAGGAUAAUAGCAAUUGCUUAUACAACAUCAAUGUUUUCCUUU